This is a long non-coding RNA of Dromaius novaehollandiae (emu), 2926 nucleotides long. RefSeq lists it as uncharacterized. The record is from RefSeq and is a predicted model, not a curated record. The transcript has 6 exons. Lineage: Eukaryota; Metazoa; Chordata; Aves; Casuariiformes; Dromaiidae.
GGUAGGGGCUCGGGCCCGGCUCCGUGCGGGGAGUGCGGCGCAAGGUCAGUAAGUCACAAGGAAGCUUAAAGCCACUGGGCCGAACGGGUUGAAGGUCAACUUCAGUCGGGUACGAUUAGUGCAGCCCCAGGUUAUUUAGUUGAGAAUUGCGGCUAGGUGAGCAAGAAGAUGGAUAGAGGACAGACACUUCCAGGCAGUGUGAGGCCUGCCCCACCCCCGGGCACAGACUGCGGGCCCCAGCCGACCUGGGCACCAACUGAUUGAACCCCCCGCUGAGCCCUGCUCUCUCCUGUACAGCUGCCCCAAAGCCACGGGCUUCCCCGGUGCAGCAUGUGUCGAUGGGUCCUCCGUUGCCUCUGACGUCUCCCCAGGCGCUUGUACGCUGCGCAGGGGGCUGGAUGUCUCCAGCAGCGGCACGGCAGCCUGAUGCCUCCUCUCAGCUGGGAUGCAGGGUCCUUCGCAGCUCUUCUGGGAUGCCGGGCCCUUGAGAUGGAACCAAUGAUAACAAAUGUUGACAAAGAGAAAAGCUGGACAAGCAGUAUUUUGUGAUUAACACCUAAGGGAUGGGAUGAAACAAGGAAGCAAAAAUGCAGCAGACCCUUGAUAUCACUGAAACUGCUACGAUUAAUUGCCAUGGCUGAAGCUGAAGAGACCAGAAAAAUGUGAGCAAGCUGAAGUAAUAAAAUCAAAUGGAAUCAACAGCGAGCUGUCUUCCUCUGCUGGAAAUGGAAAGCCCGUUCCUCCUGGUGAGGAAGGAUCACCGUUAAUAGUGAUCCGAAUAACAGAUCACGAACAUAAAAGGGAAGGUUACUGUUCUGAGGGCCAGCAACUCGAAGAGGAGCAGCUCAGCCUGUUUUGUUGAUUUUGGUGAUACUGUUUUGAGGAAGCAGGGGGCCCGUCAGUCAGCUAACAAAGAAGAUGGAACAGCCUAUCCACAUAGGAGAGAGCUGACGUAGGAGAACUGAUAUACGGUAAAUGUAAACGGCCUAGACCUCUGGUACAUCACAGGCAUUUGUUUAGAUCUGUGCGUUCAAAUCUAUAGUUCCGCAUUUGGAACGUGGCAUUUGCCCAAGUAUCUAAUUCCUUUGUGUCGUGUGGAAGCCACUGCACGGCUGCCAGUCUCUACACCAGGUUAUCGGAGAGAAUGAGAAUGCUGCAUUUCAACUCAUGACUACAAAAGAGGCUCCUUUAUGUCCAGUUUCAGAAUUAUGACCUACUUCAUCGUUCUGCUUUGACAUUGUUUCUCAGCAGGAAUGGUAGCGCUUUAAUUGUGCAGCGGUUGAAACCGGUAAUGUGUAGGCCAGCACAGUUAUGCUGUACCUUUCUUGAUAUGCAUUUCAUCCUUGUAUCAGGCUUCUGGGAAAAUAAACGGUACAGAGUUCUGGAAGGUGCGCCUUUAAAUAGGCGGUAAAUCUAGAGGCGUGUCUGAAUUCCAAGUGGCUUGUAGCUUCGUAUCUGUCUUCAGCGUAUACUUUUCUAUCGCUCUUAUUCCAGGCUUACCUCUGACAAUCUGUAUCACUGCGGUGUAUUGCGUUUCACAGGCAGUGAUAUAUUCAAUGAGAACAUGAGAACUCCUGCUCUGCAGCGGGCUCCGUAAUCGAUGACCAUGGGAUCCAUGCUCUGGGCUGGUCACUUUAGGCCUUUAUGCAGAGUAUUCUUUCUAGUCUCACGCCCCGUGUGAUCCUGUCCUUCCGCUGUUCUCCCAAGGGAUUGGAAAUGCUUCUGGUUAUCGAUGCCCUUCAGUUGUUUCUUCGGAGCGGGGGUUGCUGCAGGAAUUGCUGGGGAGGCCCUGACCGCGGGAUGUGGAAAAGACACCUUUGACUACAUCCAGCUGAAGAAAUGUAAGCCGAAGGAUCGGAGGAAAUAACUGCUUGUCUAGGUCUGUUACCUAGCAACACAUUGUCAGAGAUUUUUUUAUGAGCAGUCAUACUUGAUCAAGUGCCUAUUCAUUCCGUGAAUAGUAGUGCGUACGUUACUGAUCCUCUAAAGCAAGUCCGUGGCACUGGUGAGGUAGCGUGUGUUCUGAAGACUAAAUCCAAGAGCAACUCAUUUUGAUGCUGUUCUCUUAUAUGAAAGCACUUGGAGCAGAUGAAAACAUUUAUCGUCCUAUUUUGUUUAUUGAAUGGACCGUGAGACUCGGAAAAACCUGCAGUAAAGGAGACACGGUAGUCAGCUUCCUUGGAGAAGGUGUCUUGUCCUGUACUUUAGGGCUUUCUGUACAUUUUGACAGACAGUAGUGAAUGACUGGUUUCCUUUGAACCCCUGGGCAGCAGAAGGUUCUGACUGGGAGGCAAAAUGUUUCUUGUGGCGGGUUUGAAGAAGUUGGCUACCAAUCAAAAGUAAUGACAAUUCUGUGGAGUCACUGAAGUUUUUAAAAGACAGUCGUCACCUUUUAUGGAAGGCGAUGCACUUUGGUUACUGAUCCCUGUAGUAAUCAAGCCAGGUAAGUGAUGCGUAGGAGGUCAAGCCCAUUAGUCUUUUUCACAUAGUAAUAGCCUUUAGGCUGUGAUCGCUCUUAUAAAAGUCCAGAUAUUUUAGAAACUGAACAAGCCUUGUUAGCUUGUUUCCCGUACUACCGCAAAAGGUGAUCAGAAUACCAAUGUUUUCAUGCUUUAAUGUGGUAGACAUACACUGUGCAAACGUCUCUUACUGUUUAAUAAUAAAAACUGAGCGGUCCGUCGAGACACUAGUGCAGCUUGCUUUUGGCUGUUUAUUUUGUUUAACAAUCGAUGAAGGCGAGAGGUCGAAAGUCCUAAAGACGACCAUUGCUUGUUUAAUGGUUGCAAAUUGUCUUGUUAAGUUGUGUGUGUGUGUGUGUGUGUGUGUGCCUGUGUGUGCGUUUUUGUUCUUGUUUUUUUAAUGGCAGCCUCUGAGUACUUUUUGGCCGUAGCGUAUUUUGCAGUGUUAGAAUGAAAGCCUUCUUAAU